Molecule: ribosomal RNA, 515 nt
Filed under: uncultured bacterium
Lineage: Bacteria
Description: partial 16S ribosomal RNA
Rfam family: Bacterial small subunit ribosomal RNA
Source: RNAcentral
GAUGAACGCUGGCGGCGUGCCUAAUACAUGCAAGUCGAGCGAAUGGAUUAAGAGCUUGCUCUUAUGAAGUUAGCGGCGGACGGGUGAGUAACACGUGGGUAACCUGCCCAUAAGACUGGGAUAACUCCGGGAAACCGGGGCUAAUACCGGAUAACAUUUUGAACCGCAUGGUUCGAAAUUGAAAGGCGGCUUCGGCUGUCACUUAUGGAUGGACCCCGUUCGCAUUAGCUAGUUGGGGAGGGAACGGCUCACCAAGGCAACGAUGCGUAGCCGACCUGAGAGGGUGAUCGGCCACACUGGGACUGAGACACGGCCCAGACUCCUACGGGAGGCAGCAGUAGGGAAUCUUCCGCAAUGGACGAAAGUCUGACGGAGCAACGCCGCGUGAGUGAUGAAGGCUUUCGGGUCGUAAAACUCUGUUGUUAGGGAAGAACAAGUGCUAGUUGAAUAAGCUGGCACCUUGACGGUACCUAACCAGAAAGCCACGGCUAACUACGUGCCAGCCGCCGCAGUAA